GCUUGCAUCCUUGUUGGUUAGCGGCGGACGGGUGAGUAACACGUGGGCAACCUGCCUGUAAGACUGGGAUAACUUCGGGAAACCGGAGCUAAUACCGGAUAAUUCCUUUCCUCACAUGAGGGAAGGCUGAAAGACGGUUUCGGCUGACACUUACAGAUGGGCCCGCGGCGCAUUAGCUAGUUGGUGAGGUAACGGCUCACCAAGGCGACGAUGCGUAGCCGACCUGAGAGGGUGAUCGGCCACACUGGGACUGAGACACGGCCCAGACUCCUACGGGAGGCAGCAGUAGGGAAUCUUCCGCAAUGGACGAAAGUCUGACGGAGCAACGCCGCGUGAGCGAUGAAGGCCUUCGGGUCGUAAAGCUCUGUUGUUAGGGAAGAACAAGUACCGGAGUAACUGCCGGUACCUUGACGGUACCUAACCAGAAAGCCACGGCUAACUACGUGCCAGCAGCCGCGGUAAUACGUAGGUGGCAAGCGUUGUCCGGAAUUAUUGGGCGUAAAGCGCGCGCAGGCGGUCCUUUAAGUCUGAUGUGAAAGCCCACGGCUCAACCGUGGAGGGUCAUUGGAAACUGGGGGACUUGAGUGCAGAAGAGGAAAGCGGAAUUCCACGUGUAGCGGUGAAAUGCGUAGAGAUGUGGAGGAACACCAGUGGC
This 655-nucleotide ribosomal RNA is filed under the name Bacillus sp. (in: firmicutes). Its description in RNAcentral is "bacterial SSU rRNA". It matches the Rfam family "Bacterial small subunit ribosomal RNA", at positions 72 to 716 of the family's 1533-position model. Lineage: Bacteria; Bacillati; Bacillota; Bacilli; Caryophanales; Bacillaceae. The record is from RNAcentral.